UGCUCCGGCUCUCGCUUUCUCUCCGGCGAUCUUUCGCCAUCGGUCUUUUUUCGGGGGUUUCAACUCCGGCGAUCUUGGAUCGAGUGCAUGUAGGUUUCUCUUGGAGAGAAGAAGGGAGACCAAAGGGAUGGCUCGGAGUAUAGACCAUUUCAAGGAGAGAGGCGAAACCACACAAGAUUCCGCGAUUGCUCUUCAAAGACGGCGAAAGGCCCUAGUUUUGAAGCGCCUCUUCGUCGAUUCACACAAGAUUUUGAAUCUGUGUCGCUGAUUCUGUUCUUGGAGGCGGAAUUAGGGCAACAUCCCCUCGUCAGUCGAGGCGCAGAGAAACACGUGGGGAAGUCCAAGUCGGUGGAGCUGUGGGAUACGGACAAGAAGACUAGCCUACUCAAGUGCAUCGUCAAGACCCAGCUGCGGAUUCUUCGUCUCAAUGUGAUCGCCAGGAGGCAGGACAGAUAAGAUUUUUGUUCGAGGUGGAACUACCUAACGACAAGUACAAGACUGAUUCCAAAGAUGGAGGUUCCGUUUCGAAGAAGUGAAGGAGGUAAAUCUAACAUUUACUGAAGUUUCCAAGAAAUGGGCUGGAGAAGACAAUCAGGUGACUACCGAUGAGCUUCGGGAGAUCUCAAGAGAUGGAGGAAGAGAGUCCAAAGGAGACAAAAAAAGGGCAAGAUUCAGAUUAUUGAACAUUUCGUGGAGGGGCUGAACCGUGAACAAGAAAUGAGAGACUGGCAUAACCAGGGAAAUUGGACUUCUCGCGACCGUCGUGGUGUCAUAGCUAUUCAGUGAGUUCAUCAUUUUCUAUGUGAAUAUUAUUGUCUCCGUACCAACUGGUCCUUUUUGUUGUCUGUUUGGAUCUUUUUUAUGCUUUCACGGAUGGCAGGUGAGAUGUCAAAGAAGGGAAGUAUGUAAAUUUAUCAAUUUUUAUCCAAUAAUCAUGCGGUGGUUAUAAUUUCUGGUGGAUGCAUUAUAAUUAAAAAGAGUUCCAUUAAUAUGAUAAUGAUGAAAAGAUUGCGAUAUAUUUGGUUUGUACGUGUAGAGUAGAAUUCCCUUUUAUAUGGUACAUGUGAUGCUUGAAAAAGAAAGAGUUUCUUUGGAAAAUUAUACGUUAAGAUGCUAAUUGUGAUUCUAGAGUUUUUUUGAAACCCAUGCGUGUCUUCUCGUGAUGUAGAAGGUUAUCUUCCGAAUAAUCUCUGCAGGUAUGUUCAUUCUUUCCUUUCUCCAAUUAAGGUAUCUACGGAUAAAGAAGUCGAUAAGGACUGUAGUCCAUGGAAAUUGCUUCAUUUAUGGUUCCUAUUUUUUUCAGGUUUGUGGUAGUUUUACUUACAAUCUUAUUGGUUGGUUUUUCUUGAGGGAGGGAGAGAGUCCAAAUGAGAAAGAAAAGGGCAAGACUCGGAACAUAGAUCAUUUUGUGGAGGAGCUAGAACGUGAACAAGAAAUGAGAGAACGCCAUGGACAAUUUCUAGUCGGUGGAGCUGUUAGAUAUGGACAAGGGUCUCCUCAAGUACAUCAUCAAGACCCAGCAGCGAAUUCUUCGUCUCAAUGUGCUCACCAAGUGGUGCCAACAGAAUAGGGGUGCAUUUGGGAAGGUCUUUGAUAGGAUUCUGUUGUUUAGGGCUACGCUAAUCAGAUAAACUUAUGUCUCAGACAUUACAAUGAAGAAAAUGGUUUCUGUUUGAUUGUUGGAUUCAUUUAUACUAGACACCACACCUGAGACCCUUGUUCGAAGUGGAAUUCUCAACCCACUGAUUUUGAAGGCAUUCACAGAUGAAAGGUAAAUAGUCGAAAGAUGGGGGUUAUAUUUCAAAGAAGUAAAGUAGGUAAAUUUUAGUUCUGAUCUGGUUUGAAAGAUCUCAUGGAGGGGCUAAAACGAGAACAAGAAGUGAGAGACUGGCAUAACCAGGGAAAUGGGACUAGAACUGUCGUGGUGUGAUAUCUAUGCAGUGAAAUGUCGAAAUGUGGGGGUUUCCAGUUCAAAGAAGGGAAGUUGGUAAAUUUAACAAAUUUUAUCGAAUAACCAUGCGGUGGUUGUAAUUUCUGCUGGAUGCAUUAUAAUUAAAAGGGGUUCCAUUAAUAUGAUUAUGAUAAAAAUAUUGCAAUAUAUUUGGUUUAUAACAGUAGAGUAGAAUUCCCUUCUGUACGUUGAAUGUGAUGCUUGAAAAACAAAGAGUUCCUUUGGAAAUGUAUACGUUGAGAUGCUAAUUGUGAUUCUAGAAUUUCUUUGAAACCCAUGCGUGUCUUCUCCUGAGGUAUCUUCCGAGUAAUCCCUGCAGGUAUGUUCAUUUUUUCCUUUCUCCAACUUAGGUAUCUAUGGGUAAGGAAGCCGAGAAGGACUGUACUGUCCGUGGAAAUUGCUCCGUGUAUGCUUCCUAUUUUCUCUGGUUUGUGAUAGUCUUUGUUUCAAUCUUAUUGGUUGGUUUUUCUUGAGGGAAGGAGAGAGUCCAAUUGAGACAGAAAAGGCCAAGACUCGGCACAUAGAUCAUUUUGUGGUGGAGCUAGAACGUGAACAGGAAAUGAUAGAAAGACAUGGAGACGUAAUUAGGGCAACAUUCUCUAUGGUCAGUCGAGUUGCAGAGGAACUCGUGGAGAAUUCCAAGUCGGUGGAGCUGUCAUCUAUGGACAAGAGCCUCCUCAGGUACAUCAUCAAGGCCCAACAGCGAAUUCUUUGUCGCAAUGUGCUCACCAAGUGGUGCCAACAGGUUCGUCUUUUCUGCUGUAUAGAUUCGUUCUUUUACUUGUGUUUGUGCGUCAUGAGAAAAUUCUGGGAUUUUCUUGAAGCCGACUGACUUUGAUGGUCAAAAUUAGAGGUUUGUUUGUCCAUUUCAAGAUAAAUCGGGUUUGGUUGGUUUUUCUGUGUCAUGAAGUUUGUGCUGUCAUGUUAUAUGUUGGGUUUUGGAUUUUCUCUCCUUUAUGUUGCAGAAUAGGGGUGCAUUUGGGAAAGUUUUUAAUCGGCUCCUUUUGUUUAGGGCUACACUAAUCAGAUAAACUUACGUCUCAGACAUUACAAUGAAAAAAAUAGUUUCUGUUUGAUUGUUGGAUUCGUUUAUACGAGACCUUUGUUCGAAGUGGAAUUCUCAACCCUGAUGACAGCCCAAGACAGAUUUUGAACGUUAGUCUCAGAAUACACAUGAUUUGAUGGAAUAAAGGUAAUGUCGAGGGCCUCAUUUUGUGUCAAUUGUCCUAUUUUCUUCUUUUUGAUGAUCUUAAUUGGUAGGGUAAUGCUUAUGUUUUAUUUGGAACACAUUGAUAAAAGCGUGGACCUUUUUAAGAAUUCACAGAUGAAAGGUAAAUAGUCGAAAGAUGGGGUUUAUAUUUCAAAGAAGUAAUGUAGGUAAGUUUUAGUUCUGAUCUGGUUUGAAAGAUCUUAUUGAGGGGCUGAAACGUGAACAACAAAUGCGAGACUGGCAUAAUUAGGGAAAUGGACUGCCUACAACCAUCGUGGUGUGAUAUCUAUGCAGUAAGUUCAUCAUUUUCUAUGUGAAUAUUAUUCUCUGUACUAACUGGUUCUUUUUGUUGUUUGUUUGGAUCUUUUUUUUUACAGUCACGGACGGCAGGUGAAAUGUCGAAAUGUGGGGUUUCCGUUUCAAAGGAGGGAAGUAGGUAAAUUUAACAAUUUUUAUCCAAUAACCAUGCGGUGGUUACAGUUUCUGCUGGAUGCAUUAUAAUUAAAAAGUGUUCCAUUAAUAUGAUUAUGAUAGAAAUAUUGAGAUAUAUUUGGUUUAUAAUAGUAGAGUAGAAUUCCCUUUUGUACGGUGAAUGUGAUGCUUGAAAAACAGUUUUUUUGGAAAUGUGUAUCGUUGAGAUGCUAGUUGUUGUUCUAGAGUUUCUUUGAAACCCAUGCGUGUCUUCUUGAAGGUUAUCUUCCGAGUAAUCUCUGCAGGUAUGUUCAUUCUUUCCUUUCUCCAACUUAGGUAUCUCCAGUUAAAGAAGCCGAGAUGGACUGUAGUCCAUGGAAAUUGCUUCGUUCAUGGUUCCUAUUUUUCUCUGGUUGUGAUAGUUUUUGUUUCGAUCUUUUUGGUUGGUUUUUCUUGAGGGAAGGAGAGAGUCCAAAUGAGACAGAAAAGGGCAAGACUCGGAACAUAGAUCAUUUCGUGGAGGAGCUAGAACGUUACUUUGAUGGUAAAAAUUAUGGGUUUGUUUGUCAAUUUCAAGAUAAAUCGGGUUUUGUUUGUUUUUCUAUGUCAUGAAGAUUGUGCAGUCAUGUAAUAUGUUGGGUUUUGGAUAGUGUCUCCUUUAUCUUGCAUAAUAGUGGUGCAUUUGGGUUUGGGAUGGUUUUUGAUAGGUUUCUAUUGUUUAGAGCUACGCUAAUCAGAUAAACUUACGUCUCAGAACAUUACAAUGAAAAAAAUAGUUUCUGUUUGACUGUUGGAUUCGUUUUUUCAAAACACCACACUUGAGACCUUUGUUCGAAAUGGAAUUCUCAACCCUGAUGACAGCCCAAGACAGAUUUUGAAGGUUAGUCUCAGAAUACACAUGAUUUGAUGGAAUAAAGGUAAUGAGGGCCUCAUUUUCUGUCAAUUAAUUUUCUUCUUUUUGAUGAUCUUAAUUGGUAGGGUAAUGCUUAUGUUUUAUUUGGAACACAUUGAUAAAAGCGUGGACCUUUUUAUGAAUUCACAGAUGAAAGGUAAGUAGUCGAAAGAUGGGGUUUAUAUUUGAAAGAAGUAAUGUAGGUAAGUUUUAGUUCUGAUCUGGUUUGAAAGAUCUCAUGGAGGGUCUGAAACGUGAACAGCAAAUGAGAGACUGGCAUAAUUAGGGAAAUGGGACUGUCUGCAACUGUCGUGGUGUGAUACCUAUGCAGUAAGUUAUGCAGUAAGUUCAUCAUUUUCUAUGUGAAUAUUAUUGUCUCUGUACUAACUGGUUCUUUUUGUUGUUUGUUUGGAUCUUUUUUUUACAUUCACGAAUGGAAGGUGAAAUGUCGAAGUAUGGGGGUUUCCGUUUCAAAGAUGGGAAGUUGGUAAAUUUAACAAUUUUUAUCGAAUAACCAUGCGGUGGUUAUAAUUUCUGUUGAAUGCAUUAUAAUUAAAAAGAGUUCCAUUAAUAUGAUUAUGAUAAAAAUGUUGCGAUAUAUUUGGUUUAUAACAGGAGUAGAAUUCCAUUUUGUAUGGUGAAUGUGAUGCUUGAAAAACAAAGAAUUUAUUUGGAAAUGUAUACGUUGAGAUGCUAGUUGUUGUUCUAGAGUUUCUUUGAAACCCAUGUGUGUCUUCUCGUGAAGGUUAUCUUCCGAGUAAUCUCUGCAGGUAUGUUCAUUCUUUCCUUUCUCCAACUUAGAUAUCUACGGUUAAAGAAGCCGAGAUGGACUGUAGUCCGUGGCAAUUGCUUCGUUCAUGGUUCCUAUUUUUCUCUGGUUUGUGAUAGUUUUUGUUUCGAUCUUUUUGGUUGGUUUGUCUUGAGGGAAGGAGAGAGUCCAAAUGAGACAGAAAAUGCCAAGACUCGGAACAUAGAUCAUUUCGUGGAGGAGCUAGAACGUUAACAAGAAAUGAUAGAAAGAGGAAAACAUCCUCUAUAGUCAGUCAAGUUGCAGAGGAACUCGUGGAGAAUUCCAAGUCGGUGGAGCUGUCAGGAAUGGAACAAGAGUCUCCUCAAGUAUAUCAUCAAGAUCCAGCAGCGAAUUCUUCGUCUCAAUGUGCUCACCAAGUGGUGCCAACAGGUUCGUCUUUCCUGCUGUAUAGAUUCUAUAGAAUCGUUCUUUUACUUUUGUUUGUGCGUCAAUGGGAAAAUUUUGGGAUUUUUCUUGAAGCAGACUGACUUUGAUGGUAAAAAUUAAGGGUUUGUUUGUCAAUUUCAAGAUAAAUCGGGUUUGGUUUGUUUUUCUAUGUCAUGAAGAUUGUGCAGUCAUGUAAUAUGUUGGGUUUUGGAUUGUGUCUCCUUUAUCUUGCAUAAUAGGGGUGCAUUUGGGAUGGUUUUUGAUAGGUUUCUGUUGUUUAGAGCUACGCUAAUCAGAUAAACUUACGUCUCAGACAUUACAAUGAAAAAAAUGGUUUCUGUUUGACUGUUGGAUUCGUUUCUUCAAAAUACCACACUUGAGACCUUUGUUCGAAGUGGAAUUCUCAACCCUGAUGACAGUCCAAGACAGAUUUUGAAGGUUAGUAUCAGAAUACACAUGAUUUGAUGGAAUAAAGGUAAUGUCGAGGGCCUCAUUUUGUGUCAAUUGUCUUUUUUUCUUCUUUUUGAUGAUCUUAAUUGGUAGGGUAAUGUUUAUGUUUUAUUUGGAACACAUUGAUAAAAGCGUGGACCUUUUUAUGAAUUCACAGAUGAAAGGUAAAUUGUCGAAAGAUGGGGGUUAUAUUUCAAAGAAGUAAAGUAGGUAAGUUUUAGUUCUGAUCUGGUUUGAAAGAUCUCAUGGAGGGGCUGAAACGUGAACAGGAAAUGAGAGACUGGCAUAAUUAGGGAAAUGGGACUGCCUACAACCGUCGUGGUGUGAUAUCUAUGUAGUAAGUUCAUCAUUUUCUAUGUGAAUAUUAUUGUCUCUGUACUAACUGUGAUAUCUAUGCAGUAAGUUAUCAUUUUCUAUGUGAAUAUUAUUGUCUCUGUACUAACUGGUUUGUUUUGUUGUUUGUUUGGAUCCUUUUUUUUACAUUCAUGGAUGGAAGGUGAAAUGUCGAAAUAUGGGGUUUUCCCUUUCAAAGAAGGGAAGUUGGUAAAUUUAACAAUUUUUAUCGAAUAACCAUGCGGUGGUUAUAAUUUCUGUUGGAUGCAUUAUAAUUAAAAAGAGUUCCAUUAAUAUGAUAAUGACAAAAAUAUUGCGAUAUAUUUGGUUUAUAACAGAAGAGUAGAAUUCCCUUUUGUACGGUGAAUGUGAUACCUGAAAAACAAAGAGUUCCUUCUGGAAAUGUAUACGUUGAGAUGCUAACUGUGAUUCUAGUGUUUCUUUGAAACACAUGCGUGUCUUCUCAUGAGUUUAUCUUCCGAGUAUUAUCUACAGGUAUGUUCAUUCUUUCCUUUCUCCAACUUAGGUAUCUACGGGAAAGAAGCCGAGAAGGUCUGUAACCUGUGCAAAUUGCUUCGUGUAUGGUUCCUAUUUUCUUUGGUUUGUGAUAGUUUUUGUUUCGAUCUUAUUGGUUGGUUUUUCUUGAGGGACGGAGAGAGUCCAAAUGAGACAGAAAAGGCCAAGAUUCGGAACAUAGAUUCGUGGAGGAGUUAGAACGUGAACAAGAAAUGAUAGAAAGACAUGGCGACGGAAUUAGGGCAACAUCCUCUAUGGUCAGUCGAGUUGCAGGGGAACUCGUGGAAAGUCCAAGUUGGUGGAGUUGUCUGGUAUUGACAAGAGCCUCCUCAAGUACGUCAUCAAGACCCAGCAGCGAAUUCUUCGUAUCAAUUUGCUCACCAGGUGGUGCCAACAGGUUCGUCUUGCCUGCUGUGAUUUUUUACUUGUGUUUGUGCGCCGGUGAAAACAUUUUGGGAUUUUUCUUGAAGCAGACUGAUGAAAACAAUUAAGGGUUUGUUUGUCAAUUUCAAGAUAAAUCGGGUUUGGCAGGUUUUUCUAUGUCAUGAAGAUUGUGCAGUCAUGUAAUAUGUUGGGUUUUUGAUUGUCUCUCCUUUAUCUUGCAUAAUAGGGGUGCAUUUGGGAUGGUUUUUGAUAGGUUUCUGUUGUUUAGAGCCACCGUAAUCAGAUAAACUUACGUCUCUGACAUUACAAUGAAAAGUUAGUUUCUGUUUGAUUGUUGGAUUCGUUUCUACAAGACACCACACCUGAGACCUUUGUUCGAAGUGGAAUUCUCAACCCUGAUGACAAGCCCAAGACUGAUUUCGAAGGUUGGUCUCAGAAUACACAUGAUUUGAUGGAAUAAAGCUAAUGUCGAGGGCCUCAUUUUGUGUCAAUUGUUCUAUUUUCUUCUUUUUAAUGAUCUUAAUUGUUAGGGUAGUGUUUAUGUUUUAUUUGGAACACAUUGAUAAAAGCGUGGUCCUUUUUAUGUAUUCACAGAUGAAAGGUAAUUAGUCGAAAGAUGGGGUUUAUAUUUCAAAGAAGUAAAGUAGGUAAGUUUUUAGUUCUGAUCUGGUUUGAACGAUCUCAUGGGGGGCUGAAACGUGAACAGAAAAUGAUAGACUGGCAUAACUAGGGAAAUGGGACAGCCUACAACCGUCGUUGUGUGACAUCUAUGCAAUGGCAGGUGAAAUGUCGAAAUAUGGGGCUUUUCCGUUUCAGCGAAGGGAAGUAGGUAUCUGCGGGUAAAGAAACCGAGAAGGACUGUAGUCCGUGGAAAUUGCUUCGUGUAUGAUUCCUAUUUUCUCUGGUUUGUGAUAGUUUUUGUUUCGAUCUUAUUGGUUGGUUUGUCUUGAGGGAAGGAGAGAAUCCAAAUGAGACAGAAAAGGCCAAGACUCGGAACAUAGAUCUUUUCGUGGAGGACCUAGAACGUGAACAAGAAAUGAUAGAAAGACAUGGCGACGGAAUUAGGGUAACAUCCUCUAUGGUCAGUCGAGUUGCAGAGGAACUCGUGGAGAAUUCCAAGUCUUUGGAGCUGUCAGGUGUGGACAAGAGAAUUCUGUUCUGAUUUGAAAGAUCUCAUGGAGGGGCUGAAACGACAACACGAAGUGAGAGACUGGCAUAACCAGGGAAAUGGGACUAGCUAGAACUGUCGUGGUGUGAUGAUAUCUAUGCAGUAAGUUCAUCAUUUUCUAUGUGAAUAUUAUUGUCUGUGUACUAACUGGUUCUUUUUUAUGUUUGUUUGAAUCUUUUUUUUACGUUCAUGGAUGGCAUGUGAAAUGUCGAAACAUGGGGGUUUCCGUUUCAAAGAAGGGAAGUAGGUAAAUUUAACAAUUUUUUUCGAAUAACCAUGCGGUGGUUAUAAUUUCUGGUAUAUGCAUUAUAAUUAAAAAGAGUUCCAUUAAUAUGAUUAUGAUAAAAUAUUUUGAGAUAUUUGGUUUAUAACAGUAGAGUAGAAUUCGCUUUUGUGCGGUGAAUGUGAUGCUUGAAAAACAAAGAGUUUAUUUGGAAAUGUAUAUGUUGAGAUGCUAAUUGUUGUUCUAGAGUUUCUUUGAAACCCAUGCGUGUCUUCUCGUGAGGGUUAUCUUCCCAGUAAUCUCUGCAGGUAUGUUCAUUCUUUCCUUUCUCCAACUUAGGUAUCUACGGGUAAAGAAGCUGAGAGGGACUGUAGUUUGUGGAAAUUGCUUCGUGUAUGGUUCCUAUUUUCUCUGGUUUGUGAUAGUUUUUGUUUCGAUCUUAUUGGUUGGUUUUUCUUGAAGGAAGGAGAGAGUCCAAAUGAGACAGAAAAGGCCAAGACUCGGAACAUAGAUCUUUUCGUGGAGGAGAUAGAACGUGAACAAGAAAUGAUAGAAAGACAUGGCGAUGGGAUUAGGGCAACAUCCUCUAUGGUCAGUCGAGUUGCAGAGGAACUCGUGGAGAAUUCCAAGUCUUUGGAGCUGCCAGGUGUGGACAAGAGGUUCGUCUUUCCUGCUGUAUAGAACAGGGGUGCAUUUGGGAUGGUUUUUGAUAGGUUUCUGCUGUUAGGUUUGAAAGAUCUCAUGGAGGGGCUGAAAUCAGAACAAGAAGUGAGAGACUGGCAUAACCAUGGAAAUGGGAAGACCUAGAACUGUCGUGGUGUGAGAUCUAUGCAGUGAAAUGUCGAAAUAUGGGGGUUUCCGCUCAAAGAAGGGAAGAAGGUAUCGGCGGGUAAAGAAACCGAGAAGGACUGUAGUCUGUGGAAAUUGCUUCGUGAGCGAGUCCAAAUGAGACAGAAAAGGCGAAGACUCGGAACAUAGAUCUUUUCGUGGAGGAGCUAGAACGUGAACAAGAAAUGAUAGAAAGACAUGGCGACGGAACGAGGGCAACAUCCUCUAUGGUCAGUCGAGUUGUAGUUGAACUCGUGGAGAAUUCCAAGUCUUUGGAGCUGUCAGGUAUGGACAAGAGCCUCCUCAAGUACAUCAUCAAGACCCAGCAGCGAAUUCUCUGUCUCAAUGUGCUCACCAAGUGAUGCCACCAGAUGAAAGGUAAAUAGUCGAAAGAUGGGGGUUACAUUUCAAAGAAGUAAAGUAGGUAAAUUUUAGUUCUGAUCUGGUUUGAAAGAUCUCAUGGAGAGGCUGAAACGUGAACAAGAAAUGAGAGACUGGCAUAACUAGGGAAAUGGGACUACCUACAACCGUCGUGGUGUGAUAUCUAUGCAGUAAGUUCAUCAUUUUCUAUGUGAAUAUUAUUGUCUCUGUAUUAACUGGUUCUUUUUGUUGUUUGUUUGGAUCUCUUUUUUACAUUCAUGGAUGGCAGGUGAAAUGUCGAAAUAUGGGGGUUUCUGUUUCAAAGAAGGGAAGUAUGUAAAUUUAACAAUUUUUAUCGAAUAGUGUCGAGGACUUCUUUUUCUUUCAAUUGUUCUAUUUUCUUUUUGAUGUUCUUAAUUGGUAGGGUAAUGUUUAUGUUUUAUUGCGAACACAUUGAUAAAAGCGUGGACCUUUUUAUGAAUUCUUAGAUGAGAGGUACAUAGUCGAAAGAUGGGGGUUACCUUUCAAAGAAGUGAAGUGGGUAAAUUUUAGUUCUAAUCCGGUUUGAAACAUCUCAAUAGGUACAAAUUUCAAAAUUUGUUUGAUUGCUUAUUUUUCAUUAGUUACUUGGUUUGUAUUAUUGAUCUUUGUACUUGCCAUGGAAGUGAAUGGCCAACAUUGUAAACAGGCUGGACCGUGUUUCCAUCGGUAAUUAUAUGAAGUGACCAAUGAGUAACCUAUCAAUUUGCAUUGUGUGUGGUUUCUUUGGCUAUGUCUUGGUCAAUUUCACAUGAUCCGUGUUUAUUUAUGUUUUCGUCUGUUUUUAUAUGUCAUGUCUAUCUUCUCUGCCGAUCUAUUUUUUCUCACAGUAGGUCCUAUCUUUCUCAAUAAAGCUACGAGAUUUCAGGAUAUCAAACUGUCAAGGAUCUGGUAGUCCUCUCCUCUGAGCGCCCUAAACCUCUCAGUCAUUCUCCUGGUUAUGCUUGCAGUCAACAUUUGCUAGAUUUUCCUUGAAAAAGAAACUGAAUGUGAAAUCUAUGUGUUUAAUUGAGUUUGAUUCGGUCUGACUUUCUCUACAUUAGGACGAUCUUGAGAGCCAGAUUUUCAUGCUUAGGCUUCCAAAGCAUAGCACAAGCACCGUUCUAGACAAUGGCCGGGAGAAGACAAUCGGGUCACUAUCGACGAGCUUCGGGAGAUCUCAAGAGGUAUGAGUCACCCCACCUGCGGUGGUUGUAAUUUCUGGUGGAUGCAUGAUAAUUAAAAAGAGUUCCAUUAAUAUGACUAUGAUAAAAAGAUUGCGAUAUAUUUGGUUUAUAACAGUAGAGUAGAAUUCCCUUUUGUAUGGUGCAUGUGAAAGAGUUUCUUUGGAAAUGUAUACGUUCAGAUGCUAAUUAUGGUUCUAGAGUUUCAUUGAAGGCCAUGCAGGUAUGUUCAGAUGCGAAUUCUUCGUCUCAAUGUGCUCACCAAGUGGUGCCAACAGGGAUGGAGAGAGUCCAAAGGAGAUAGAAAAGGGCAAGAUUCGAAACAUAGAUCACUUCGUGGAGGAGCUAGAACGUGAACAAG
Long non-coding RNA from Tarenaya hassleriana, 11466 nucleotides. RefSeq lists it as uncharacterized. Lineage: Eukaryota; Viridiplantae; Streptophyta; Magnoliopsida; Brassicales; Cleomaceae. The transcript has 17 exons. The record is from RefSeq and is a predicted model, not a curated record.